AUCGCUUCUCGGCCUUUUGGCUAAGAUCAAGUGUAGUAUCUGUUCUUAUCAGUUUAAUAUCUGAUACGCCCCGAUUCGGGGCAACGAUAAACGCAUUUUAGAACAGGGAGCUGAAUAAGGGGCUCGCUCCGUUCGCUCCACGCAUCGACCCGGUAUUGCAGCGCCUCCGGGAACGGUGCCCCCUUU
Molecule: small nuclear RNA, 186 nt
Organism: Oreochromis aureus
Lineage: Eukaryota; Metazoa; Chordata; Actinopteri; Cichliformes; Cichlidae
Gene: U2
Rfam family: U2 spliceosomal RNA
About the family: U2 is a small nuclear RNA (snRNA) component of the spliceosome (involved in pre-mRNA splicing). Complementary binding between U2 snRNA (in an area lying towards the 5' end but 3' to hairpin I) and the branchpoint sequence (BPS) of the intron results the bulging out of an unpaired adenosine, on the BPS, which initiates a nucleophilic attack at the intronic 5' splice site, thus starting the first of two transesterification reactions that mediate splicing.
Source: Ensembl